GGGGGCGAAAUGGGUUCGACGGAGGUGCCUAGGGCUGAACAGCGUGCCGAGGUGCCCACCGCCUCGUAAAAAAGGUGGGGCAAACACAAGUGCCGACGAAUAUAACUACGCAAUGGCUGCUUAAUAUAACAGCAGCCCGCCCUGAAUCCAGCCUCUGCCCGUGGGCGGUUCAGGGCGUCAGCUAGCGGGCUGGCCUAGAAGGUGUGCCUGCCACCUUCUAGGCGAGAUUUCUGCAGGCUAGGCUGGAGAAGGCCAGCCUGGGGAGCCUUCCCAGCCGAAAGUCACGGCCCAGGCUACGCACGUAGAAGUUCAGUCUGAAACACCUCCGGACGCGGGUUCGAUUCCCGCCGCCUCCACCA
Non-coding RNA from Thermodesulfatator indicus DSM 15286, 359 nucleotides. It matches the Rfam family "transfer-messenger RNA". Rfam says of the family: Bacterial tmRNA, also known as 10Sa RNA or SsrA, is named for its dual tRNA and mRNA-like properties. The record is from Rfam. NCBI's taxonomy places the organism in Bacteria, Pseudomonadati, Thermodesulfobacteriota, Thermodesulfobacteria, Thermodesulfobacteriales, Thermodesulfatatoraceae.